Molecule: non-coding RNA, 613 nt
Organism: Pelobates cultripes (western spadefoot toad)
Lineage: Eukaryota; Metazoa; Chordata; Amphibia; Anura; Pelobatidae
Source: the annotation of a GenBank genome assembly
GGGUGAACAACAUAUCCAAAAAUUACCCAGAUCAGAGCAGGGGUUCAGGAAAUUCCUGGAAGUCUCUUUUGACCGACCGCACGCAUAGUUUCAUUCCCAAAACAGUUCCAGAUAAUUAGGCUGUACGGCCGGUCUAUUUAAAACAGUUGAAGUACCGUUCGAAUUACCGAACGGAAUGGUGAAUGGCCAUAGCUAAUGUGUGUCCCUUGUUGGUGGGCUUCGAUUCACCGAACACCGUUCGACUCCCAUUUGAAUAGUCUAUGUUACCUUUGGAAGGUAACUGUUCAGCGGUGUUCGUGCCAUCGUGUGUCCGAUUUGAAUUCCAUGAACUCGACAACAAAACACAGCUGAACACGUUCGACUAAAUAAGAUGGCUGCCGCCACGUGUUCGACUAAACGAAUGGCGGCCAUUUCGACUACUUUGACUGUAUCCGAAGUGCCAAUUUGCAGAAGGGGAAUGGAAGGAGUUUUAGGUGAACAAACAGAUGAACCAGAGGAUAGAUUUAUAACCCAUGGACAGAGAACCGGAUUAACCCUUUUCGAGUUAACUUGGGGAUGUCCGGACUCUGCUUAGGGCAGGGGUUCUCAACGUUAGUCCUCAGGACCCCCUACC